This is a non-coding RNA of Cyanistes caeruleus (blue tit), 741 nucleotides long. Lineage: Eukaryota; Metazoa; Chordata; Aves; Passeriformes; Paridae. The record is from RefSeq and is a predicted model, not a curated record.
GGCUCUGAGCCAGGCUGUGCGUGCAGAGAUCAGCCAGGAGACCGCGGUGAACCCCGUGGACAUCGUCAGCACCCUGCAGGCCCUGCAGAUGCUCAAGUACUGGAAGGGCAAACACCUGGUCCUCAAGAGGCAGGACCUGAUCGACGAGUGGAUCGCCAAGGAGGCCAAGAGAUCCAACAGCAACAAGACCAUGGAUCCCAGCUGCCUCAAGUGGACCCCUCCCAAGGGCACCUAAGCGUCCCCAGGGCCGGGCCCGGUGCCGCCCUGCCCGGCGUCCCCACAGUUCUGAGGAACUCGGAUGUUUCGGCCUCAGUGAGGCCGUGUGAGGACUGGAAGUGUCUGGGAGCCCCAGGGAGCCGAGGAGCUCCGAUUGCUGGGCCUGUCCCUGCUGUCCCUGCUGUCCUGCUCCAUCCUCCCGUCCCUCCUGCAGCUCAGCCGGCUGCCAGCGCUUCCCUGGAGCUGCUCCCGUCCCGUUCCACAUCCCAGAUAGCUUUAGUGGGAUCGUCUCCCCCCUCCUGCAGCAGUUUGCCCUGGGAUCCAGCAGAUCUUCGCUUAGUUCCUGUUGUACAGCCAGAAUUGCAGCCGAGGCAGGGGCGGGGUGUUCCCGUCACCCCCUCCCGGAGCCACCACAGCCCUGCUGGAAGCACCUCUGGAUCAGAAUUGCUGUUUUUUCCUGGUGUGUAUCCCCUGGAAUUGCUGAGUUCCUGUACAUAAACAGCCUGCUGAGUGUGUUUCCCUGCA